Zootermopsis nevadensis is the source of this 2660-nucleotide non-coding RNA. The record is from RefSeq and is a predicted model, not a curated record. NCBI's taxonomy places the organism in Eukaryota, Metazoa, Arthropoda, Insecta, Blattodea, Termopsidae.
CUAACCUCAUCGUCAAUGAACUGUUGAAUUUCUGCAUUCUCGCUGGAGUCCAAAAAUCCUGCCAAACCAAAGUCGUCAUCAAAUUGCACAGGAACAUUUUGGUCGUCGGCCACUCUGCCGAAAUGGAGCAAUGACGUCGCUGUCGUGUGUCCUAAAACCGACGACGGUGACAUUCCUGAUUCGUAUGUUGUUGUUUACAGUACCAAGGAGCAAAGACUCAGACGUCUUUCGACAAUGAAUGUUCGCUCGCUAUAGAAUCGCUACUCGCGAAAAGGAAUUUAAUCCAAUCACAAAAAGUGGGAAACUUUUCCAACAAUAUUUGGUUGAUACUGAAAUUAAACGUGAGAAAGACGUUAUCAACUACUUGAGGUAUCAACUCCAACCGACUAAACGUGUAGAUAAGUGCAGCAGUUUGAAAGCAAACUUGGAAAAGCUUGCAAAAGAAAUGAAGAAAUGACUCGUCGUUCGUUGGAUCGCCACGUUACAUGUUGGUCGCUUGUUGCGUUUUGUUAGUUAAUGAUGACUUGGUGUUUACUAAUUUUGUAAUUUUUCUAGAAUAUCCAGCAUUUUUCCCUUUGGAGCAUUUUACCCUUGGUUAAGUCAUCUACUGAAGGAAGGCGCAUUUCUCUCCCAUAACGAAGCAGUUCUGUGUAUCUGUCGAUGUGCCGACGUGUCCCGUCGCAUCACGGUCUCGAAAGAAGCAAGUCUGGAUUAGUUUGCUUGUCAGCUCUGUCUUUUUCGCUCGAGAUAAACCUCCAGCGUUCCACUGUAAAAUUCUUAACUUAUCGGGUGUGGAGUGUUAUAUUGUACAGGUCAAUAUGACCUACUGAAUGAAAGCUACGUUAAUAUUAUUUAAUUUUAAAAUACACUUCCUUGUUGUGACAUUCCCUAGAUUGAGAAUCCGAAUCCUCCAUCCGUUAUGUAGCUCGAAACCAGACCAAGUUCCUCAUCUACAGUCACAGUUGAACAAACAACAGACCACACACCGCUGUGAGCAGCAGAUUCUAGUGCCUUUGAGUACAGAUCCUGCAAAUUUAUACGGAUCAAAUGACGGGCAGCUGUGACGUGGUUCGAGAGAACCGCCCUUGGAAUCGGCGUUUCUCAUUGGUCAGUCACGUAUUGCCUUAUUUCCCAAGAGAAACACAGAUCUUUGACGCUGAUUCAUGCGGUGGGAAGAGUGGUUGGUUUAGUCCGUCUCCGGACGUCCUCUCAGUCAUCCUAUAUGUUGCGUAACACUGAAAUUCCUAGAUUUAUGAAGCGAGUCCUACUCGGGGGUGCAAAUACACGGCAAAGGGGCUCCGGCACAACAGGGGUUGUAUGUCAUGUCUAUAAAGACCUCUUUGCCGUAAAGACGACGAGGUAGGUCUAUGUCGCACCCCCGUUCCAUUGAUUUUACAGGUCUUUGUUACGCGGGUCGAAGUAGGCAAGCUAUAUACCCAAAAAGGCAUUUUCCCCUUGGAAUUUAUCCAAACUGGUCUAAAAUUUGGUCUUAAUAUAAGUUUCCGACAAAAGUCGUGAGCGACUUCAUUCUGCCCAAAAUAUAAGGCAACUCGUUUGUGAAUGAGUGGAAAUGUAGCAUCACAAAUAGUCAGAAGUCCAUGUUUACAAUCCUGAAUGUCUGCCUGCUGCAACAGUGAGUAGUGUUGUCUGUUUUCCGUCACUGCGAAAUAUUUCACUUCUGGUUCCAGUUGCAUAGGUCUAUUCAGCAGUGCAGAGAAGGUGGGUAGUGGUUCUACCUUAUACAAUGACAUUGCUCGAUCAGUGCCCCGUAAUGGAAUGCGUACUAAUAAUCGAAUUGAAUUUUCUGUAGCAUAGGCUUGUACCUUCGCAAUAUCAUAAGAGAUAUACAUGUUAUCUACAUCCGUGUUUGUAAUCAGUGAAACGUCACGUGAUAAUUUCAGAGCAAUUUGGCCUCUUAAAUUAGGUCAGACGGUGGUAGAAGAACUGACGAUAAUCUUCCCAAUGAUGUUACGUCAAUAUGUAUUUGAAUACGUUCCUGCUGUUGUAUUGAUAAAUUCAAGGUUAGAAAUGACGUGGAUGUUCUGUGUGAAGACGAUUCCGUUGACGUGAGAUAUGAGGUUUACACACCAUAAACUUUUCCGAUAAUAAAGGAUGAAUGGAGGGUAAGCCUCCUUUUAACCAAAUUAUUUAUGGUACUUAUCUCUACGUGUUGAACCGAUAGCUGCUCCUCCUCCGGUCCAUUUGCUACCAUUUAUGAACCAUCAGCUCAUCCGGUCCACCUAAUACUCGCUGACUCGGUUGGUCGUGUAUUCUACGCCCCGAGAUAUUCGUGCGGAAACCAAGGAACAUUGAAGGCAGUUGAACAUCACAAUCAAUUAAAAUUAAAUCCCAAUCAAUUUUGAAGUUAAACAAACAAAAAUGAAUUUAAUGUGAAAAAUUGAUAAAAAAAACAAUUACAAAAAAGAAAAGAAAACUGUGUUACAAAACAAGAAUACAAUUAAUCUUUCGGAAGAUAAUAUUAAAGCUACACAAACAUACGCCCAAGUGUGUCCAUACUUGAUGGCAGCCACACCUUCAACAUCAUUGAGAAACAAUUCUCCAUUUAAACAGAAUACUACAUAAGGCCCCCCUUAAAAUUUGAAUGUUCGCUAGUAUUUGUUUAAUACUAGCAAACGUCCCUUCAGCCGCCAGUCCGGCCG